GAUGAAGAAUGUAGCGAAAUGCGAUAAGUAGUGUGAAUUGCAGAAUUCAGUGAAUCAUCGAAUCUUUGAACGCACAUUGCGCCCCUUGGUAUUCCAUGGGGCAUGCCUGUUCGAGCGUCAUUUGUACCUUCAAGCUUUGCUUGGUGUUGGGUGUUUGUCCAUUCUCUUGCAGAGGGACUCGCCUUAAAGUAAUUGGCAGCCAGUGUUUUGGUUUUGAAGCGCAGCACAAGUCGCGAUUCAAAGCUAUACGCCCGCUUCCACAAGCCUUUUUCACUUUUGACCUCGGAUCAGGUAGGGAUACCCGCUGAACUUAAGCAUAUCAAUAAGCGGAGGA
RNAcentral lists this unclassified non-coding RNA (334 nucleotides) under soil metagenome. RNAcentral describes it as "partial contains 5.8S ribosomal RNA, internal transcribed spacer 2, and large subunit ribosomal RNA". The stretch from base 1 to 120 matches the Rfam family "5.8S ribosomal RNA", at positions 35 to 154 of the family's 154-position model. The record is from RNAcentral.